Molecule: ribosomal RNA, 357 nt
Filed under: Triticum aestivum (bread wheat)
Lineage: Eukaryota; Viridiplantae; Streptophyta; Magnoliopsida; Poales; Poaceae
Description: partial small subunit ribosomal RNA
Source: RNAcentral
ACCCAGGACGGGUGGGAGAUGCAGAAGCCGCCGCCGUGGAGCUGCACGAUGACGGGGAGGCGCCCGGCGUUGCCCGCGUCGACCUCGGGGAGGUACACCCGGAGGUUGGGCUCCCCGGGGAGGUCGUGGAGCGUGUGGCCGUCGCGGGGCACAUCGUAGGGCUGCACCGGCUGCAUGAGGGGCAGGGCCUCCGGCGGGCCCGUCCACGUGCGGUCGAUACUGCCGUCGUCCAUCACGCGCAGCCAGCCGGAGACCUCGUCCACCACCUUACGGCCGCUCGUCGGCGCCACGGUGGUGGUCGCCUGGUGCUGCGAUGCGGCGGCGGGGGCCAUCGGUCGUCGCUGGGGUGUAUGUUAG